This 253-nucleotide ribosomal RNA is filed under the name uncultured bacterium. Its description in RNAcentral is "partial 16S ribosomal RNA". It matches the Rfam family "Bacterial small subunit ribosomal RNA", at positions 524 to 776 of the family's 1533-position model. The record is from RNAcentral.
UACGUAGGGGGCUAGCGUUGUCCGGAAUCAUUGGGCGUAAAGCGCGUGUAGGCGGUCCGGUAAGUCCGCUGUGAAAGUCGAGGGCUCAACCCUCGAAUGCCGGUGGAUACUGUCGGGCUUGAGUACGGGAGAGGCGAGUGGAAUUCCUGGUGUAGCGGUGAAAUGCGCAGAUAUCAGGAGGAACACCGAUUGCGAAGGCAGCUCGCUGGAACGGUACUGACGCUGAGACGCGAAAGCGUGGGGAGCAAACAGG